Molecule: ribosomal RNA, 106 nt
Filed under: Pteropus alecto (black flying fox)
Lineage: Eukaryota; Metazoa; Chordata; Mammalia; Chiroptera; Pteropodidae
Source: RNAcentral
GUCUACAGCCAUACCACCCUGAACACACCUGAUCCCGCCUGAUCUCGGAAGCUAAGCAGGCUCAGGCCCGGUUAGUACUUGGAUGGGAGAAAUAGUUCUGCAUAUG